UACAGAGGUCUCGAGCGUUAGGCGGAAUCACUGGGCUUAAAGCGUGUGUAGGCGGAUCGUUAAGUGCCUUGUGAAAUCCCACGGCUUAACCGUGGAACUGCUUGGCAUACUGGCGGUCUUGAGCAACCUAGGGGCGAGCGGAACAAAUGGUGGAGCGGUGAAAUGCGUAGAUAUCAUUUGGAACGCCAAUGGUGAAAACAGCUCGCUGGGGGUUUGCUGACGCUGAGACACGAAAGUGUGGGGAUCAAACAGG
RNAcentral lists this ribosomal RNA (253 nucleotides) under uncultured bacterium. RNAcentral describes it as "partial 16S ribosomal RNA". It matches the Rfam family "Bacterial small subunit ribosomal RNA", at positions 524 to 776 of the family's 1533-position model. The record is from RNAcentral.